This 386-nucleotide ribosomal RNA is filed under the name Dracognomus tinae. RNAcentral describes it as "SSU rRNA". It matches the Rfam family "Eukaryotic small subunit ribosomal RNA", at positions 29 to 424 of the family's 1831-position model. Lineage: Eukaryota; Metazoa; Nematoda; Chromadorea; Desmodorida; Draconematidae. The record is from RNAcentral.
UGCUUGUCUCAAAGAUUAAGCCAUGCAUGUCUAAGCUUGAGCCGAAAUAUGGUGAAGCCGCGAAUGGCUCAUUACAACAGCCGUUGUUUCUUGGACUGAUUACUUGGAUAACUGUGGUAAUUCUAGAGCUAAUACAGCAACAAAGCUCCAACCUCCGGGAGGAGCGCAUUUAUUAGACCAAACCAAUCAGGCUUUGCCUGGAAUCUGGUGACUCUGAAUAACUUUGCUGAUCACACGGUCUAGCACCGGUGACAUAUCUUUCAAGUGUCUGCCCUAUCAACUUUCGAUGGUAGUUUAUGUGCCUACCAUGGUUGUAACGGGUAACGGAGAAUAAGGGUUCGACUCCGGAAAGGGAGCCUGAGAAAUGGCUACCACAUCCAAGGAGG